Molecule: ribosomal RNA, 413 nt
Filed under: Metzgeria conjugata
Lineage: Eukaryota; Viridiplantae; Streptophyta; Jungermanniopsida; Metzgeriales; Metzgeriaceae
Description: eukaryotic LSU rRNA
Rfam family: 5.8S ribosomal RNA (bases 1-109)
Source: RNAcentral
CAGCGAAAUGCGAUACCUAGUGUGAAUUGCAGAAUUCCGCGAAUCAUCGAGUCUUUGAACGCAAGUUGCGCCCGAGGCUUGUCCCGAGGGCAUGCCUGCCUGAGCGUCACCGCACUCCCACCCGACGAACCCUCGUCGCGCGUGGAAAUGGCCGUCCGGGGUCGGGCGUCGAUGCCCAGCGCCGCGGUCGGCUGAAAUGGAGCGUUCUGGACGUAGCCGGAGAGGGGGAUUGCGAGAAGGUGAUCCGCCCUCUGGGCGGAGUCUAUUUUGACAGCGUCCCUCGAUCCGGGAGGUCCCACGGAACUCGAAGCGGGAGCUCGCCCGGUCGAUCGCUCGCGGUCGGUUGGGCGAGUCACACCACUGCUUGGACCUCAGAUCAGGCAAGAUUACCCGCUGAGUUUAAGCAUAUCAAU